UGUUUAGCUAUUCUUCAGCAGAUUAUAUAUUGAAGGUUGAACGGUGUUUGAAUGAUGAAAGAGGAAGGUUGAGUCAGUACCUGUAUCCUUCCUCUGUAGAGAAGCUACUUCAGGUUGUGCAUCUGAAGUUGAGUGGUGAAACUAGAAGCCAGCUGAUUGAAAAACAGAAGGCUGAGAACCUUAAUUCAACAAAAUAUCAGGAAUUAUUGUCCAGAUGUUCCAAUUUAAGCAUUGGGUAAAGAAGUGACAUUUUUUUACCAGCAUUAUAGUGUCAGUACCCCAGGAAAGGGAACAGAAAACACUAACAAAAAG
This 312-nucleotide unclassified non-coding RNA is filed under the name Hevea brasiliensis (rubber tree). Lineage: Eukaryota; Viridiplantae; Streptophyta; Magnoliopsida; Malpighiales; Euphorbiaceae. The record is from RNAcentral.